GACGAACGCUGGCGGCGUGCUUAACACAUGCAAGUCGAGCGGUAAGGCCCUUUCGGGGGUACACGAGCGGCGAACGGGUGAGUAACACGUGGGUGACCUGCCUUUAGCUCUGGGAUAAGCCUGGGAAACCGGGUCUAAUACCGGAUAUGACUCCGCGGCGCAUGUUGUGGGGUGGAAAGCCUUGUGCGGUUGGAGAUGGGCCCGCGGCCUAUCAGCUUGUUGGUGGGGUGAUGGCCUACCAAGGCGACGACGGGUAGCCGGCCUGAGAGGGCGACCGGCCACACUGGGACUGAGACACGGCCCAGACUCCUACGGGAGGCAGCAGUGGGGAAUCUUGGACAAUGGGCGCAAGCCUGAUCCAGCCAUGCCGCGUGAGUGACGAAGGCCU
Molecule: ribosomal RNA, 388 nt
Filed under: uncultured bacterium
Lineage: Bacteria
Description: bacterial SSU rRNA
Rfam family: Bacterial small subunit ribosomal RNA
Source: RNAcentral